Molecule: non-coding RNA, 158 nt
Organism: Meleagris gallopavo (turkey)
Lineage: Eukaryota; Metazoa; Chordata; Aves; Galliformes; Phasianidae
Source: RefSeq, a predicted model, not a curated record
CUACCACAACCGCAAAGACAACCUGCAGAACCUGAAGAACAGGGGCCUUGUCACCGAGGAUGGCAAAGUUGUCUGCACUCUGAAAGAGUUCAACGAGUACAGGCAGUACCUGACCAGGCUGAAGCUGGAGCGGGAGAAAAUAAAGAGGCAAAAAGAGG